UCCAGAUUCAACCAGCAUAUCAGUGAUUUCCUCGCCAUUUCCCUCUUUGAAACAGACUUUCUUUGUAUUACGAUCUACAUCCGUCCGAGAACCAUCACCAUUAUCGACUUCCAGAUAAGAAAUAUUAUCACCAGAGUUCAGAGAGAUUUCCAUUUUUUUCUGCAGAGAAAUUUGAAGUAUUAUAAUUUUAGUUUAAUUUGGUAAAUAAUUAAAUCCUCUUUACUGAUCAACAUUUAAGUAAAAAUGAAUAGUUAACUUGUCACUUUAUUACUUGAUUAAUAAAUGCAUAUGCGUUUACAAAUCAAUCAUCUAAUGUUUGGCAUUAUUUCAUGGAUCAAAUUUUUUAAGUUAUAUCAUGCUAAUAUUAUUCUUUAGCUCAUAUAUUUUCUUUUUGUUUGUAAGGUAUUUUAGAAUUGCAUACGCAAUUUUAGAUCAAAUUCUUUAAUACUAUUUGACCAGAAAAAGAAAUGACAUGAUACAAAAACUAAAGAGCAAUUAAGAGUAGGUUUGGAUGGGCAGUGCGUUUACCUACGGUUAGUGUAAAAACAACGGUGGCAGUGAAAUUAGAUAAUGUAGCGUGAGACAAAAAGUAAGCUACACACAUCGCAUCACACCGUAUUCCACCGCUCAUCCAAACCCACCUUAAAUAAACAAGCAAUUGAGAUGGGAAAUGAUAAUCCCAAGAAUGUUGGAUCCAAUCCACCAAUUAUUUAUAACCAAUCAUGUUAAGUAAAUUCACGUUAGAAAUCAAGAAUGUACCAACAACUUAAAGGAGUCAAUGGUUAAGAGUUUUUCGUUGACAUUUGAAGUCUAAGCUUCAAGUCCCGGCAAAAAAUCCCCUCCCCAAUAUGUUUUGUACAAAAAAAAAAUAAUUAAGAAGUAUAUUACUUACAACACACUAUUGUAUGAGCGAAGCCUUCGCUCUAAUAUCUGGUUCAGAAUAAUAACACACUAUUGUAUGCAAUCAAUCUCAAACUGUUUAAUUUUUCUCUAGAUGAAAGAGCUAAGGAAUGACUCAACUCUCAUGUAUUAACUUAAGUAGCAAUCUCAUUCCUAUACUUCACUAAGAUCACUCUUCUAUUAAGAUUUUCUCCUUAAAAAUUUUUACAAUAUAUUUUCACUAAAACAAUUUCCUCUCUCUAUAAAUAAAAUAAGUGCUCCUUAAACUAUACAUAAAUAAAAUAAAUAAACCUUCUUUAAAUAAGAAAUCAUAGACUUGUAGAUCACCAUUUAGUAUAAUUGAAUCAUGACAUUGAACUUAUGCCAAAUAGCUUUUUGAUAAGGCAUGAAAAUGACAAGAAAUCUUCAUUAUUUAGUCUUCGAUAGGAACCGAAUCUCUUCGAAAAUCGUCAAAUCUAGUUGUUUGUUAUUCAAAAUCUUUAAAUUCUUUAAAUAUUGUCCUUACCUGAUUGAUAUUUUUAAUAUGAUUUAAUUUAAUUAUUUGUUACUCACUCAAAAUCUUCACAAAGAUGGAAAAAAAAAAAACAAUCACAAUAUUUAAGUCAGAACAUGUCAAUGUAUAAGACAAGUUAUACAAUAAUCUAGUUACAAGGAGAAUUGCAGUAAACUGUGCAACAAAUGCCAACUAUAUCAUUUUCAAAUCAAGUCAUAAGUAAUCAAUACUGUUGUUUCUUUCGACAAUUAAAAUUUUCUAGUUUAAGAUGAAACGAGAACAAAAGAAUUUUCAUUAUAUUCAUGAAAAAAUUUGAUUCUUUGUAAUCCAAACUAGUUUGAUUGAGUUCACAUGAAUCAUUGCAACCUGGUAUGAUAGGAUUCCAAACACAUGAAUACUUGUAAUCACCUAUAAAUCAAUUCAAAACUUACUUUUUUGGACAAAAAAAUCAUGUAUUGCAUUAAUAGGUUGGUUUUUCUGCAGAGAGAGUUGGACACUACUAUGUACCCCAAAGCUGGUUACGUUUAGUUGAAAUAAAACCUAUAGGUUGCGCCUUCAUUGAUGUGCUUUGGUUGUGCAGCUUGGGGACUCGAGCCUCAACCACCGGGGAAGAAAGCUUGGACCACACCAGACGGUGCAGUGUCUCAUGCCAUUAAAUUU
This 2053-nucleotide long non-coding RNA is filed under the name Gossypium barbadense (sea-island cotton). Its description in RNAcentral is "long non-coding RNA (GBAR_LNC002611)". Lineage: Eukaryota; Viridiplantae; Streptophyta; Magnoliopsida; Malvales; Malvaceae. The record is from RNAcentral.